This 440-nucleotide ribosomal RNA is filed under the name uncultured bacterium. RNAcentral describes it as "partial 16S ribosomal RNA". It matches the Rfam family "Bacterial small subunit ribosomal RNA", at positions 338 to 795 of the family's 1533-position model. The record is from RNAcentral.
CCUACGGGAGGCUGCAGUGGGGAAUAUUGCACAAUGGGGGAAACCCUGAUGCAGCGACGCCGCGUGAGUGAAGAAGUAUCUCGGUACGUAAAGCUCUAUCAGCAGGGAAGAAAAUGACGGUACCUGACUAAGAAGCCCCGGCUAACUACGUGCCAGCAGCCGCGGUAAUACGUAGGGGGCAAGCGUUAUCCGGAUUUACUGGGUGUAAAGGGAGCGUAGACGGCAGCACAAGUCUGGAGGGAAAACCCGGGGCUUAACCCCGUAACUGCUUUGGAAACUGUGCGGCUUGAGUGCAGGAGGGGUAAGCGGAAUUCCUAGUGUAGCGGUGAAAUGCGUAGAUAUUAGGCGGAACACCGGUGGCGAAGGCGGCUUACUGGACUUUAACUGACGUUGAGGCUCGAAAGCGUGGGGAGCAAACAGGAUUAGAUACCCUGGUAGUC